UACGUAGGGUGCAAGCGUUAUCCGGAAUUAUUGGGCGUAAAGAGCUCGUAGGCGGUUUGUCACGUCUGCUGUGAAAACUGGAGGCUCAACCUCCAGCCUGCAGUGGGUACGGGCAGACUAGAGUGCUGUAGGGGAGACUGGAAUUCCUGGUGUAGCGGUGGAAUGCGCAGAUAUCAGGAGGAACACCGAUGGCGAAGGCAGGUCUCUGGGCAGUUACUGACGCUGAGGAGCGAAAGCAUGGGGAGCGAACAGG
This 253-nucleotide ribosomal RNA is filed under the name uncultured bacterium. Its description in RNAcentral is "partial 16S ribosomal RNA". It matches the Rfam family "Bacterial small subunit ribosomal RNA", at positions 524 to 776 of the family's 1533-position model. The record is from RNAcentral.